RNAcentral lists this transfer-messenger RNA (360 nucleotides) under Pseudomonadota bacterium. RNAcentral's name for it is "Proteobacteria bacterium transfer-messenger RNA". It matches the Rfam family "transfer-messenger RNA". Rfam says of the family: Bacterial tmRNA, also known as 10Sa RNA or SsrA, is named for its dual tRNA and mRNA-like properties. The record is from RNAcentral. Lineage: Bacteria; Pseudomonadati; Pseudomonadota.
GGGGCCGUUUUUGGUUUCGACGGUUGGCUGUUAUAAGUCAAGGAGCAUGCAGAGGUUGGCACCGUACUCUCUUUAAUUUUUCGGUGCGCUUAUAAUCGGCAACGAUUACGCUUUAGCUGCCUAAUUAACAGGUAGCCGAUGACUAGAAGGGCGCCCAAGACUUUCUACGAUUCGUCAUUUUCCUCGGGCUAGCUUUUUUUGUUCCUGUCUGAGACAGAAAAAGUGAAAUUUUUUCAGACUUAGGGUUAGGAAGCUGGUUCUUUGGGUGAACUAACCUGAAAAUUUUACAAGAACUAAGCAUGUAGUAGCCUUUUCUAUAACCCAUAUCGGACACGGGUUCGACUCCCGUCGGCUCCACCA